UGGGGAAUUGUUCGCAAUGGGCGCAAGCCUGACGACGCAACGCCGCGUGGAGGAUGAAGGUCUUCGGAUUGUAAACUCCUGUUGACCGGGACGAAUGGGCGACGACCUAACACGUCGGAGCAGUGACGGUACCGGUUGACGAAGCCACGGCUAACUCUGUGCCAGCAGCCGCGGUAAUACAGAGGGGGCAAGCGUUAUUCGGAAUUAUUGGGCGUAAAGGGCGCGUAGGCGGCCUGGCAAGUGGAAGGUGAAAUCCCUCGGCUUAACCGAGGAACUGCCCUCCAAACUGCUUGGCUUGAGUCCGGGAGAGGUGAGUGGAAUUCCCAGUGUAGCGGUGAAAUGCGUAGAUAUUGGGAGGAACACCAGUGGCGAAGGCGGCUCACUGGACCGGAACUGACGCUGAGGCGCGAAAGCGUGGGGAGCAAAC
RNAcentral lists this ribosomal RNA (427 nucleotides) under uncultured bacterium. RNAcentral describes it as "bacterial SSU rRNA". It matches the Rfam family "Bacterial small subunit ribosomal RNA", at positions 355 to 773 of the family's 1533-position model. The record is from RNAcentral.